This is a non-coding RNA of Chlamydotis undulata (Houbara bustard), 46 nucleotides long. NCBI's taxonomy places the organism in Eukaryota, Metazoa, Chordata, Aves, Otidiformes, Otididae. The record is from Rfam.
CCAAAGGCUGUUUUAAGAGCCACCAAUUCUCUCAUUUGAACAGUUU